This 75-nucleotide transfer RNA is filed under the name Acidobacteriota bacterium. RNAcentral's name for it is "Acidobacteria bacterium tRNA-Lys". It matches the Rfam family "tRNA". Rfam says of the family: Transfer RNA (tRNA) molecules are approximately 80 nucleotides in length. Their secondary structure includes four short double-helical elements and three loops (D, anti-codon, and T loops). RNAcentral also lists the same sequence under 2 other names. Lineage: Bacteria; Pseudomonadati; Acidobacteriota. The record is from RNAcentral.
GCGCCCGAAGCUUUGAUGGCGAAGCACAGGUCUCUUAAACCUGGGAGGAGGGUUCGAGUCCCUACGGGCGCACCA